AGCUCUGUUUAGUGACAGUAUCAUAGCCAAUGAGGUUUAUCUGAGGCACAAUUACUGCUAAUUGAAAACUUCUCUAAUAUGACAUACAACAAGCACAAUAACAAACAUUUUCUUUAGUACAAAAAUCAAUACAGUAGUUACGGUUUGCUAAUUAAAUCAAUUUA
Molecule: small nuclear RNA, 164 nt
Gene: U4
Rfam family: U4 spliceosomal RNA
About the family: U4 small nuclear RNA (U4 snRNA) is a component of the major U2-dependent spliceosome.
Source: Ensembl